Long non-coding RNA from Canis lupus familiaris (dog), 2353 nucleotides. RefSeq lists it as uncharacterized. The record is from RefSeq and is a predicted model, not a curated record. Lineage: Eukaryota; Metazoa; Chordata; Mammalia; Carnivora; Canidae. The transcript has 3 exons.
ACGCGGGCGGUGAUGUCAUUGGCAACCAAUCAAAAACUUAAAAGGGCCAGCCGGGGCCCGCGCGGAGCAGCUGCUCUCUAUUUACAUGUAAACCGAACCGGCUGGAUGCAGUUAACCCUUUCCGGGGCCGAAGUGUCAAUGGGCCGGAUCGCUGCUCCGGCUCAAACCGGCUGGGUCCCUGGGCCCGGAGCCCCCCGCGUGCCCCUGCCCCGGGGGUGCGGAUCGCGUCUUCUCUUUCCCUCCUACUCGGGACCAAGGAUCGGAAGAGUCGGAGUAACUUUCCGAGGGCGGGCCCCGCGAGCAGUCUCCGUCCCCGGCGGGGAGCCGGCUCGCCCAGGCGCUCCAGGCGCAAAGGAGUUUGAUAAGGACAGUAGAGUCUUACAUGAGGAGCACUAUAGGAUACUCGGCUAUGAGUUUUCUCUCUUACUAGAUUGAAGGUGUUUGGAGACAUGCUUCGGGCUCCACGCCUGUCUGAACUAUGGCUUUUAGGAACUUUGAAAAGGCUUCUGCACUUUACAUAUUUUUGUGAGCAGUGCUGUUCUAGAGCUCCUUUGAUUUGAGGUCACUUUGGUGCCAAAGGCACCAGAACCACAGAAUGUUAGACCUGAACGGGACUUAGAGCUUAUCUAGGCCAAUAGUUUUCAAACUGUGUUAGGAUGAGCCACAGGGAGUGGAGACACCAUUGCCAGGGGACGAGUAAAACAAGAGUCCUGGUGGUGAGCUAGAGGAGCUCUGAGACCAUGCUCCCACCCCUCACCCCCGACUUGAGAUGUAUUCUUCUAUUCCUGAGACCCUGAGGUAAGAUUUCCUUUGAAGAAAGGAUUCUGGUUGGUGUUUUAUUUUGUUUUGUUUUAACCCCGAUGCACCAUUUUACGGGUAAGUCCAUCUGAGGCCUAGGGAAUGGAGAUGACCUGGCCAAAGAAGCCAUGCUUGACCUCAGGACUUGACCACUUCACGUCAAGGCCCAGCGUAGCAUCUACAGAAGAGGAAGUGACUGACCCAUUGGGAAAUCAAUAAACUCCCUGUCUCAACUGAGGGGAACCAAUCCCCUUUCCAAGCAGUUAGCUCUUCGUCCCCUCCAUUUGUGACCUCAGAAAUGCCUCCUGCUUUUUGUCAAAAGGCAACUCUGGCUAGGCCCCGAGUGUGUGGAUCGUUGACACAAGCUUCUCUUCUUUAUAAAAAUACCAAAGAAUUCACUGGCGAUUGGUUUCCAGCAAGGUGUUGCUCUUCGAUGGAUGGCCUCUUAUUACCACGUGUUGCUACAUCAAAGACUUAACAUCUCCCCCUUUGCCAGGCUGAGCAAUCCUUUUCUCAUUAGCAAAUGCCGUCAGACCCACAGUGGCACAACCGCAGGAGGCUGUGACUGAGAGCUGUGAAGGUACCUGGUGGGCCGCGGAGACAAGAGGUAAAGCCCCUCCGACGUGGGUCAGGUCUCACACCUAAGCCCAGGAAUUAGCCUAACAUCCUCAGGACCCUUUAGCGGGUUAUGCCUGUGCUGCUCCCAGAUGGAGCACGCUCCUUCUCAUUGCCCCCUGUGUCAUCAUGUGCCGUGCUUAUCUUUACAAUUAAACAGGGCCUGAAAAAAGAAAUAAAUUAAGUUAAAAAUAAAUAAUAAAUAAAUAAGUAAUAAAUAAAUAAAUAACAAUUAAAUAGGGCCUGAACCACCUUUACAAAUCUGGUAUUUGGGAAAGUGGUAAUAACAGGUACCAGGUUUUGUUUUGCUCUGUGCCCAGCACUGCCCUGAGUGAUCUAUGCACAUUAACUCAUCUAAAGCUUCACACCCACAUCCCCGCUUGUAAGAAAGCCUCCUUUUAUUAGCCUUAAUUGAAAGAUGAGGAAACAGAAAUACAGACGGGUUAGGAAUCUGCCCCGGGUCACACAGCUACAAAGCAGCAGAGGCAACAUUUGAACCCAGACAAUCCGGCGCCAGAACAUCUGCUUUUAACCAUUCUGUGUGAUUUAAUUCACUCUCUCUGUGAUUUUAUAAACUUUUAUCAUAUCCCCCUCCGCCUCCAGACUGCCAGCAUAUUUUUAAUUGCCUCUUUGUGAGAAUUUGCUGGGGUUUUCUCCUCUGCUUUCUCCUGAAACUUCUCGGAGUCCUUUAGGUCCUCACAUGGCCUCCCUCCCUGCUGGAUCUUCCACGUUUGGGAUGGGAUCAAAACCUCCCCUGUUUCCAGAAUGCUCCCAGGUAGUGCUCUAAACUUGGUCCGUGUUUUGGUCACUGCUGCAGGCAGCAUGGAAGAGCCUAGGGCAGCUGCAUUACCCAGACCUCAACUCGUUCACCAUCCCUUCCCAGCGCCUGGGACAAGUGAGCUCAGCAAGUGCCCGGUGAAUGAAUAAACGAUCAGAGGAA